This 203-nucleotide unclassified non-coding RNA is filed under the name Hevea brasiliensis (rubber tree). The record is from RNAcentral. Lineage: Eukaryota; Viridiplantae; Streptophyta; Magnoliopsida; Malpighiales; Euphorbiaceae.
UGAUAGUAACCAUAAUUCUUCCUCUGGUGCGCCGCCGCCCAAAACUGUGGAUGAUGUGUGGAGGGAGAUUGUUUCUGGUGAGAGGAAGGAAUUGAAGGAGGAGGUUGCUGACGAGAUGAUAACCCUCGAGGAUUUUCUUUUGAAAUCUGGAGCUGUGCCUGUUGAGGAUGUUAAAUUGCCGCAGACAGAGAGGCUGAGUGGAG